GAUGAACGCUGGCGGCGUGCCUAAUACAUGCAAGUCGAGCGAACAGACGAGGAGCUUGCUCCUCUGACGUUAGCGGCGGACGGGUGAGUAACACGUGGAUAACCUACCUAUAAGACUGGGAUAACUUCGGGAAACCGGAGCUAAUACCGGAUAAUAUAUUGAACCGCAUGGUUCAAUAGUGAAAGACGGUUUUGCUGUCACUUAUAGAUGGAUCCGCGCCGCAUUAGCUAGUUGGUAGGGUAACGGCUUACCAAGGCGACGAUGCGUAGCCGACCUGAGAGGGUGAUCGGCCACACUGGAACUGAGACACGGUCCAGACUCCUACGGGAGGCAGCAGUAGGGAAUCUUCCGCAAUGGGCGAAAGCCUGACGGAGCAACGCCGCGUGAGUGAUGAAGGUCUUCGGAUCGUAAAACUCUGUUAUUAGGAAAGAACAAAUGUGUAAGUAACUAUGCACGUCUUGACGGUACCUAAUCAGAAAGCCACGGCUAACUACGUG
RNAcentral lists this ribosomal RNA (497 nucleotides) under uncultured bacterium. RNAcentral's name for it is "partial 16S ribosomal RNA". It matches the Rfam family "Bacterial small subunit ribosomal RNA", at positions 28 to 507 of the family's 1533-position model. The record is from RNAcentral.